Molecule: ribosomal RNA, 726 nt
Filed under: uncultured bacterium
Lineage: Bacteria
Description: bacterial SSU rRNA
Rfam family: Bacterial small subunit ribosomal RNA
Source: RNAcentral
GGUAGUCCACGCCGUAAACGAUGUCGACUUGGAGGUUGUGCCCUUGAGGCGUGGCUUCCGGAGCUAACGCGUUAAGUCGACCGCCUGGGGAGUACGGCCGCAAGGUUAAAACUCAAAUGAAUUGACGGGGGCCCGCACAAGCGGUGGAGCAUGUGGUUUAAUUCGAUGCAACGCGAAGAACCUUACCUACUCUUGACAUCCAGAGAACUUAGCAGAGAUGCUUUGGUGCCUUCGGGAACUCCGAGACAGGUGCUGCAUGGCUGUCGUCAGCUCGUGUUGUGAAAUGUUGGGUUAAGUCCCGCAACGAGCGCAACCCUUAUCCUUUGUUGCCAGCGGUUAGGCCGGGAACUCAAAGGAGACUGCCAGUGAUAAACUGGAGGAAGGUGGGGAUGACGUCAAGUCAUCAUGGCCCUUACGAGUAGGGCUACACACGUGCUACAAUGGCGCAUACAAAGAGAAGCGACCUCGCGAGAGCAAGCGGACCUCAUAAAGUGCGUCGUAGUCCGGAUUGGAGUCUGCAACUCGACUCCAUGAAGUCGGAAUCGCUAGUAAUCGUAGAUCAGAAUGCUACGGUGAAUACGUUCCCGGGCCUUGUACACACCGCCCGUCACACCAUGGGAGUGGGUUGCAAAAGAAGUAGGUAGCUUAACCUUCGGGAGGGCGCUUACCACUUUGUGAUUCAUGACUGGGGUGAAGUCGUAACAAGGUAACCGUAGGGGAACCUGC